Salvia miltiorrhiza (redroot sage) is the source of this 603-nucleotide long non-coding RNA. RefSeq lists it as uncharacterized. Lineage: Eukaryota; Viridiplantae; Streptophyta; Magnoliopsida; Lamiales; Lamiaceae. The transcript has 2 exons. The record is from RefSeq and is a predicted model, not a curated record.
UUCAUUAGUUAUUAUAGGCCCAUAAUUAAAUAAAAAUAUUAAGCUUGUUAAUUUGGCCCAAAAUCUGUUAUCGGUAAAUACCAAUAUCGUUAGAUAUCUAAAAUCAAACAUUAAAUCUCAUCUGUUUCAAAUUCGAGUCAUAAUUCUCGGGAAAAAAAACGCUUCGUCCUCUGCUUCAAGCCGUUGCAGGGGGAAGGUAUUAAUCUCUUCAAUUUCUAAAUUUUUACCGUUGAAUCAGAAUCAGUCACAUAUAUAGUUGCAUAAAUAGAAUGAGGUAAAUUAAUUCUUCUCACCAAUUUACUCUUUGAUUAUUGUCCUUCUUGUUCUUGAGCAAAAAAAUUCACACUGCAAUUUACAGAUUGUCUUCGUUUGGAUUCGUAGCGGGGAAGAUUGUUGUUGUACCCUCAUUGUCUAUUUGUCUUCUGGAAUCUGGAUUCUGGUAAUUGACUAUCAGGUUUGGGGCUACCUAUUACAAACUCUCAAGCUCCAAUUUCUCCAGCCUCCAUGUGCUAUUAUUCUAUCAUUUUACUUUGAGUGUUAUUGUGUGAAACAUGGGGCCACCUAGAAAACAAGCAUGUGGAAAUGAGAAAAAGAAAAAAAGAA